Molecule: ribosomal RNA, 1496 nt
Filed under: Lactiplantibacillus plantarum
Lineage: Bacteria; Bacillati; Bacillota; Bacilli; Lactobacillales; Lactobacillaceae
Description: bacterial SSU rRNA
Rfam family: Bacterial small subunit ribosomal RNA
Source: RNAcentral
GGCCGACGCUGCGCGUGCCUAAUACAUGCAAGUCGAACGAACUCUGGUAUUGAUUGGUGCUUGCAUCAUGAUUUACAUUUGAGUGAGUGGCGAACUGGUGAGUAACACGUGGGAAACCUGCCCAGAAGCGGGGGAUAACACCUGGAAACAGAUGCUAAUACCGCAUAACAACUUGGACCGCAUGGUCCGAGUUUGAAAGAUGGCUUCGGCUAUCACUUUUGGAUGGUCCCGCGGCGUAUUAGCUAGAUGGUGGGGUAACGGCUCACCAUGGCAAUGAUACGUAGCCGACCUGAGAGGGUAAUCGGCCACAUUGGGACUGAGACACGGCCCAAACUCCUACGGGAGGCAGCAGUAGGGAAUCUUCCACAAUGGACGAAAGUCUGAUGGAGCAACGCCGCGUGAGUGAAGAAGGGUUUCGGCUCGUAAAACUCUGUUGUUAAAGAAGAACAUAUCUGAGAGUAACUGUUCAGGUAUUGACGGUAUUUAACCAGAAAGCCACGGCUAACUACGUGCCAGCAGCCGCGGUAAUACGUAGGUGGCAAGCGUUGUCCGGAUUUAUUGGGCGUAAAGCGAGCGCAGGCGGUUUUUUAAGUCUGAUGUGAAAGCCUUCGGCUCAACCGAAGAAGUGCAUCGGAAACUGGGAAACUUGAGUGCAGAAGAGGACAGUGGAACUCCAUGUGUAGCGGUGAAAUGCGUAGAUAUAUGGAAGAACACCAGUGGCGAAGGCGGCUGUCUGGUCUGUAACUGACGCUGAGGCUCGAAAGUAUGGGUAGCAAACAGGAUUACAUACCCUGCCAGUCCAUACCGUAAACGAUGAAUGCUAACUGUUGGAGGGUUGCCGCCCUUCACUGCUGCAGCUAACGCAUUAAGUCAUGCCGCCUCGGAGAGUACGCCCGCACAGGCUUGAAACUCCCACAUAGUUGAAUGUUUGACCGGGGGCCCGCACAAGCGGUGGAGCAUGUGGUUUAAUUCGAAGCUACGCGAAGAACCUUACCAGGUCUUGACAUACUAUGCAAAUCUAAGAGAUUAGACGUUCCCUUCGGGGACAUGGAUACAGGUGGUGCAUGGUUGUCGUCAGCUCGUGUCGUGAGAUGUUGGGUUAAGUCCCGCAACGAGCGCAACCCUUAUUAUCAGUUGCCAGCAUUAAGUUGGGCACUCUGGUGAGACUGCCGGUGACAAACCGGAGGAAGGUGGGGAUGACGUCAAAUCAUCAUGCCCCUUAUGACCUGGGCUACACACGUGCUACAAUGGAUGGUACAACGAGUUGCGAACUCGCGAGAGUAAGCUAAUCUCUUAAAGCCAUUCUCAGUUCGGAUUGUAGGCUGCAACUCGCCUACAUGAAGUCGGAAUCGCUAGUAAUCGCGGAUCAGCAUGCCGCGGUGAAUACGUUCCCGGGCCUUGUACACACCGCCCGUCACACCAUGAGAGUUUGUAACACCCAAAGUCGGUGGGGUAACCUUUUAGGAACCAGCCGCCUAAGGGGACAGAUAUAGGGU